AUUGAGUUUAUUUACUAAAAUAAUAUACGAUAAGCCAUCGAUCAAAAAUGGCGUCGAACAGCGAGGAAGAGCAAAGUUUAAGAGAAUGUGAAGCGUACGUUCAGCGACAUAAUAUUCAGCAAAUUUUAAAAGAUUGUAUUGUUCAAUUAUGCGUUAGUCGACCAGAAAAUCCUAUAUCUUUUCUAAGGGCUUAUUUUCAAAGAUUAGAAAAGAAUGCCUGUAACGUGCACUAGGGGGUGAAUAAUGGAAAAAUGGAUAGUUUUGAAAAUUAUAUAGUGGACUCCCAGAAGAAUUAAAUGGCUUAGAACUGACCCCACCAAGUAAGCUGCUCUCAGAGAUGGAGGAUUAGUCAUCAAUUAUUAGCUGGUGGAUGUUAAAAAUCAUAUUUGUUGUAUCUAGUAACAACAAAAGUGUAAAGCAAUAGUUAAGACAGCAUUUCUGUCUUAAGAAUUUUUCAUAAUGUGAGUGAUUUCAACUAAAUUGUGGUAACUAAAACUUUGAGGUGGUAAUAAUACUAGAAUUUUUUUACUCA
Long non-coding RNA from Centruroides sculpturatus (bark scorpion), 532 nucleotides. RefSeq lists it as uncharacterized. NCBI's taxonomy places the organism in Eukaryota, Metazoa, Arthropoda, Arachnida, Scorpiones, Buthidae. The transcript is spliced from 3 exons. The record is from RefSeq and is a predicted model, not a curated record.